Non-coding RNA from Oryzias latipes (Japanese medaka), 46 nucleotides. Lineage: Eukaryota; Metazoa; Chordata; Actinopteri; Beloniformes; Adrianichthyidae. The record is from Rfam.
ACUAAGGCUUUUAUUAAAGCCACGAAAAACAUGCAGAAAUGUCAAG